This 365-nucleotide long non-coding RNA is filed under the name Gossypium raimondii (Peruvian cotton). Its description in RNAcentral is "long non-coding RNA (GRAI_LNC007193)". The record is from RNAcentral. Lineage: Eukaryota; Viridiplantae; Streptophyta; Magnoliopsida; Malvales; Malvaceae.
CAAGAGCAACAGCAAUCUUCAUCAUCUUUUCCUUGAUCUGGGCUGUGUUCAUUUAUGUUACUCCGUUCCAAGUGGUGGCUGUUCUGUUCGGUCUCUACUGGCUGCGUCAUCCUCGCUUCAGGAGCAAGCUGCCAUCGGUGCCUGUCAACUUUUUCAAGAGAUUACCAUCAAAGUCAGACAUGCUAAUUUGAGAAACUAAGGUUACUUCCAUCAUUAUCAUUCGUUUAAUCAGUAUGUGAAUAAAGAUGAUUCGGUGAAUAACUUUCAGCAGAUCUUACCUGGAGAUGGGGGAGAGAAGAGCAAUCCACUACCCCAUUACAAAGAAUCUCACUUUUCCUGGUCCGAAUAUGCACUUUCACAGCUUU